AUUGAACGCUGGCGGCAGGCCUAACACAUGCAAGUCGAGCGGAUGAAGGGAGCUUGCUCCUGGAUUCAGCGGCGGACGGGUGAGUAAUGCCUAUGAAUCUGCCUGGUAGUGGGGGAUAACGUCCGGAAACGGGCGCUAAUACCGCAUACGGCCUGAGGGAGAAAGGGGGGGAUCUUCGGACCUCACGCUAUCAGAUGAGCCUAGGUCGGAUUAGCUAGUUGGUGGGGUAAAGGCCUACCAAGGCGACGAUCCGUAACUGGUCUGAGAGGAUGAUCAGUCACAUUGGAACUGAGACACGGUACAGACUCCUACGGGAGGCAGCAGUGGGGAAUAUUGGACAAUGGGGGAAAGCCUGAUCCAGCCCUGCCGCGUGUGUGAAGAAGGUCUUCGGAUUGUAAAGCAAUUUAAGUUGGGAGGAAGGGCAGUAAGUUAAUACCUUGCUGUUUUGACGUUACCAACAGAAUAAGCACCGGCUAACUUCGUG
RNAcentral lists this ribosomal RNA (484 nucleotides) under uncultured bacterium. RNAcentral's name for it is "partial 16S ribosomal RNA". It matches the Rfam family "Bacterial small subunit ribosomal RNA", at positions 30 to 507 of the family's 1533-position model. The record is from RNAcentral.